GUGCUUGCUUCGGCAGCAUAUAUACUAAAAUUAAAUACAGAGAAAAUUAGUGUGGCCCCUGCACAAGGAUGACAAAUUUGUGAAGCCUUCCAUAUUAAA
This 99-nucleotide small nuclear RNA is filed under the name Myotis davidii. Lineage: Eukaryota; Metazoa; Chordata; Mammalia; Chiroptera; Vespertilionidae. The record is from RNAcentral.